This 494-nucleotide ribosomal RNA is filed under the name Clostridioides difficile. RNAcentral describes it as "bacterial LSU rRNA". It matches the Rfam family "Bacterial large subunit ribosomal RNA", at positions 2429 to 2925 of the family's 2925-position model. The record is from RNAcentral. Lineage: Bacteria; Bacillati; Bacillota; Clostridia; Peptostreptococcales; Peptostreptococcaceae.
CUGCGUGGAAGGGCCAUCGCUCAACGGAUAAAAGCUACCCUGGGGAUAACAGGCUUAUCUCCCCCAAGAGUCCACAUCGACGGGGAGGUUUGGCACCUCGAUGUCGGCUCAUCACAUCCUGGGGCUGUAGUAGGUCCCAAGGGUUGGGCUGUUCGCCCAUUAAAGUGGUACGCGAGCUGGGUUCAGAACGUCGUGAGACAGUUCGGUCCCUAUCCGUCGCAGGCGUAGGAAAUUUGAGAAGACCUGUCCUUAGUACGAGAGGACCGGGAUGGACGUACCUCUGGUGUACCAGUUGUUCUGCCAAGGGCAUGGCUGGGUAGCUAUGUAUGGAAUGGAUAAGCGCUGAAAGCAUCUAAGCGCGAAGCCAACUUCAAGAUAAGAUUUCCCACCGCAAGGGUAAGACCCCAGAAAGACUAUCUGGUUGAUAGGUCGAAGGUGUAAGUGCAGCAAUGUAUUUAGCUUAUCGAUACUAAUAGGUCGAGGACUUGACCAAU